UGUUAAAAUUUUUAUCUAUUUUUACUGUUAAAAACUAAUGUGGCUGACAGAGUAGUUAGUUAGUUUCAUGUGACGUGCCACCUGUACCUUAUUCCAACGUACACGAACCAAUUUUUAAUGAUAGAGUUAAAUGGAAUUUUUAACA
This is a non-coding RNA of Gossypium arboreum, 145 nucleotides long. The record is from Rfam. Lineage: Eukaryota; Viridiplantae; Streptophyta; Magnoliopsida; Malvales; Malvaceae.